AAACGGGAGAAGCCCCGGAGCCCUUUAUGGGCUCUUCUUCAAACUUGCAUUUUGACGUAAAUCACUUCGGAGCU
RNAcentral lists this transfer RNA (74 nucleotides) under Anolis sp. JGP-2014a. Its description in RNAcentral is "tRNA-Cys". Lineage: Eukaryota; Metazoa; Chordata; Lepidosauria; Squamata; Anolidae. The record is from RNAcentral.